GUUUUAAUAGUUUAAAUAAAACUUUGGUCUUGUAAACCAAAAAUAAGAUUUUGAUCUUUUAAAACU
RNAcentral lists this transfer RNA (66 nucleotides) under Kamimuria wangi. Its description in RNAcentral is "tRNA-Thr". It matches the Rfam family "tRNA". Rfam says of the family: Transfer RNA (tRNA) molecules are approximately 80 nucleotides in length. Their secondary structure includes four short double-helical elements and three loops (D, anti-codon, and T loops). The record is from RNAcentral. RNAcentral also lists the same sequence under 1 other name. Lineage: Eukaryota; Metazoa; Arthropoda; Insecta; Plecoptera; Perlidae.